GUCUUCUGAAUCGUCGUCUGCA
Molecule: microRNA, 22 nt
Filed under: Heligmosomoides polygyrus
Lineage: Eukaryota; Metazoa; Nematoda; Chromadorea; Rhabditida; Heligmosomidae
Description: hpo-miR-10105-3p
Source: miRBase by way of RNAcentral